Molecule: ribosomal RNA, 496 nt
Filed under: uncultured bacterium
Lineage: Bacteria
Description: partial 16S ribosomal RNA
Rfam family: Bacterial small subunit ribosomal RNA
Source: RNAcentral
GAUGAACGCUGGCGGCGUGCCUAAUACAUGCAAGUCGAGCGAACAGACGAGGAGCUUGCUCCUCUGACGUUAGCGGCGGACGGGUGAGUAACACGUGGAUAACCUACCUAUAAGACUGGGAUAACUUCGGGAAACCGGAGCUAAUACCGGAUAAUAUAUUGAACCGCAUGGUUCAAUAGUGAAAGACGGUUUUGCUGUCACUUAUAGAUGGAUCCGCGCCGCAUUAGCUAGUUGGUAAGGUAACGGCUUACCAAGGCAACGAUGCGUAGCCGACCUGAGAGGGUGAUCGGCCACACUGGAAAUGAGACACGGUCCAGACUCCUACGGGAGGCAGCAGUAGGGAAUCUUCCGCAAUGGGCGAAAGCCUGACGGAGCAACGCCGCGUGAGUGAUGAAGGUCUUCGGAUCGUAAAACUCUGUUAUUAGGGAAGAACAAAUGUGUAAGUAACUAUGCACGUCUUGACGGUACCUAAUCAGAAAGCCACGGCAAACUACGU